RNA transcript from Sapajus apella (tufted capuchin), 718 nucleotides. It is a transcript of the gene named zinc-alpha-2-glycoprotein pseudogene, with no coding region annotated. The transcript has 2 exons. Lineage: Eukaryota; Metazoa; Chordata; Mammalia; Primates; Cebidae. The record is from RefSeq and is a predicted model, not a curated record.
AUGGGAAACGUGGGGAAGUGCACGGAGCAUUCACAGCUUGUUGCUGAAAGAGUCAAUGCGUGGGUGCUGCUGAUCGCUGACAUCCACGGGUGGGGGUGGGAAGAGACCUGGGCCCUGAGAAGUCGACCUCAAGCCUUCAGUGUCACGCUCUAUUCCUCCACAGCUCCUCCCUCCGUGGUGGUCACCAGCCACCAGGCCCCAGGAAAAAACAAGAAACUCAAGUGCCUGGCCUACGACUUCUACCCGCGGGAGAUUGAUGUGCACUGGACUCGGGCCGGCAAGGUGCAGGAGCCUGACUCAGGGGGAGACAUUCUUUGCAGUGGAAAUGGCACUUACCUGACCUGGGUGGUGGUGCAUGUGUCCCCGAAAGACACAGCCCCCUACUCCUGCUAUGUGCAGCACAGCAGCCUGGCCCAGCCCCUGGUGGUGCCCGGGGAUGCCAGUUAGGAAGCAAGGGCUGGAGGCAAUGUGGGGGUCUCAGCCCCAGUAGCCGCCUUUCCUGCCUGACAUGGGAGCUGAACCUUAGAAAUCACCGUCAAUGGAUCCACAAGGCCCAAGCAGCCAUGUGGGCGGACAGGCAGGAGGCGGAUUUGGAGACUGAAGACUGGGAUGCCUGCCGUGAGCUGCCUCGGACCCCAAAAUCAUCUCACCUUAAACUGCCCCCCAUUGUCUAAUCUGUAGAACCAAAUAAAUAAUCAUCUCUUUUUGUCUGGCAUGA